AGAUAUUCAAUGCUGGAAGGCUUGGAUAUCGAAAGCGCAAGCGCCAGAGGGUGAGUCUGCGGCCUAUCAGGUAGUAGGUGGUGUAACGGACCACCUAGCCUAAGACGGGUACGGGCCUUGAGAGAGGGAGCCCGGAGAUGGGUUUUGAGACACGAACCCAGGCCCUACGGGGCGCAGCAGGCGCGAAACCUUCGCACUGCGCGAAAGCGCGACGAGGGGAGCCCGAGUGCCUCUCCAUUUCGGGGAGGCUUUUCACAAGCCUAAAAAGCUUGUGGAAUAAGGGCUGGGCAAGACGGGUGCCAGCCGCCGCGGUAAUACCCGCAGCUCGAGUGGUGGUCGCUUUUAUUGAGCCUAAAACGUUCGUAGUCGGCCUUGUAAAUCCCUGGGUAAAUCGGACCGCUUAACGGUUCGAAUUCCGGGGAGACUGCAAGGCUAGGGACCGGGCGAGGUCAGAGGUACUUUCGGGGUAGGAGUGAAAUCCUGUAAUCCCGAAGGGACCACCUGUGGCGAAAGCGUCUGACUUGAACGGCUCCGACGAUGAGGAACGAAGGCUAGGGGAGCAAACCGGAUUAGAUACCCGGGUAGUCCUAGCUGUAAACUCUGCCCGCUUGGUGUGGCCUGUCCUUCGGGGGCAGGCUGUGCCGGAGCGAAGGUGUUAAGCGGGCUGCUUGGGGAGUACGGCCGCAAGGUUGAAACUUAAAGGAAUUGGCGGGGGAGCACCGCAACGGGAGGAUGCGUGCGGUUUAAUGGAUCAACGCCGG
This 761-nucleotide ribosomal RNA is filed under the name uncultured Thermoplasmatales archaeon. RNAcentral's name for it is "bacterial SSU rRNA". It matches the Rfam family "Archaeal small subunit ribosomal RNA", at positions 156 to 921 of the family's 1478-position model. Lineage: Archaea; Methanobacteriati; Thermoplasmatota; Thermoplasmata; Thermoplasmatales. The record is from RNAcentral.